UGGCUCAUUCGGUAGAGUGCUUGCCUAGCAAGUAAGAAGUCCUGGGUUUGAUUCCCAG
RNAcentral lists this transfer RNA (58 nucleotides) under Neotoma lepida (desert woodrat). It matches the Rfam family "tRNA", at positions 8 to 63 of the family's 71-position model. Rfam says of the family: Transfer RNA (tRNA) molecules are approximately 80 nucleotides in length. Their secondary structure includes four short double-helical elements and three loops (D, anti-codon, and T loops). Lineage: Eukaryota; Metazoa; Chordata; Mammalia; Rodentia; Cricetidae. The record is from Rfam by way of RNAcentral.